GAAGGACUCCGCUUUCGGGUGGAGAGCGUACACAGGUGCUGCAUGGCUGUCGUCAGCUCGUGUCGUGAGAUGUUGGGUUAAGUCCCGCAACGAGCGCAACCCUUGCCUUUAGUUGCCAGCAGUUCGGCUGGGCACUCUAAAGGGACUGCCGGUGUUAAACCGGAGGAAGGUGGGGAUGACGUCAAGUCCUCAUGGCCUUUAUGACCAGGGCUACACACGUACUACAAUGGCCGAUACAAAGGGCAGCGACACUGCGAGGUGAAGCCAAUCCCGUAAAAUCGGUCUCAGUCCGGAUUGGAGUCUGCAACUCGACUCCAUGAAGUUGGAAUCGCUAGUAAUCGUGGAUCAGCAUGCCACGGUGAAUACGUUCCCGGGCCUU
RNAcentral lists this ribosomal RNA (379 nucleotides) under uncultured Desulfobulbus sp. RNAcentral's name for it is "bacterial SSU rRNA". It matches the Rfam family "Bacterial small subunit ribosomal RNA", at positions 1003 to 1382 of the family's 1533-position model. Lineage: Bacteria; Pseudomonadati; Thermodesulfobacteriota; Desulfobulbia; Desulfobulbales; Desulfobulbaceae. The record is from RNAcentral.